GAUGAACGCUAGCGGCAGGCCUGAUACAUGCAAGACGAGCGGUAAGUGUUGUAGCAAUACGAUACCUAGAGCGUCGUAAGGGUGCGUAACACGUAUGCAAUCUGCCCGGAACUGGAGAAUAGCUCGCCGAAAGGCGAAUUAACACUCCAUAGGAUAGUAGACCGGCAUCGGUUAGCUAUUAAAACUACGGUGGUUUCGGAUGAGCAUGCGGAUGAUUAGCUAGUUGGUGAGGUAACGGCUCACCAAGGCGAUGAUCAAUAGGGGAACUGAGAGGUUGAUCCCCCACACUGGCACUGAGAUACGGGCCAGACUCCUACGGGAGGCAGCAGUAGGGAAUAUUGGACAAUGGUUGCAAGACUGAUCCAGCCAUGCCGCGUGCAGGAAGAAGGCUUUCUGAGUUGUAAACUGCUUUUGCCAGGGGAUAAAAAGUCCCUGCGGGGAAAAUUGAAGGUACCUGGUGAAUAAGCCACGGCUAACUACGUGC
Molecule: ribosomal RNA, 484 nt
Filed under: uncultured bacterium
Lineage: Bacteria
Description: bacterial SSU rRNA
Rfam family: Bacterial small subunit ribosomal RNA
Source: RNAcentral